CAUGGGUCCGCUUCUGUACCACUUUGCUGAUGCCCAUGGACCAGAUGAUGAUAUGUCUAUCGAACUAAGUUUGGAAGAUGUGAAAAGGGUAGCUUACCAUUAUGGGUUUGUGAUGGAGGUGGAGAAGAUGAUAGAUACCAUGUACACGGCAAAUAUGGCAUCGAUGAUGCAG
Hordeum vulgare subsp. vulgare (domesticated barley) is the source of this 172-nucleotide long non-coding RNA. RefSeq lists it as uncharacterized. The record is from RefSeq and is a predicted model, not a curated record. The transcript is spliced from 3 exons. NCBI's taxonomy places the organism in Eukaryota, Viridiplantae, Streptophyta, Magnoliopsida, Poales, Poaceae.